CCUCACACUGCGUCUCUCACCCCGCCUGAUCUUCAGACGGAACUCAGAAGAGUCGGUUUCUGGAACAAACCCGUUACUGUCGCCCCCACUGUGGCGAGAGCACAUCCUCACGGUGUCCUCUGCACUCGGCAGUUGGCUGUUAGUUCUCCAACACGGUCUGUCAGAAAUGUGUUGUGUCUGUUUUUGAGCACAUCCAUAUAUCUGACCGCUCUGCGCUCCUCUCCUCCAGCACCCCGGCUGUGUGAGAGCAGCGAGUACUGAUCCUCUAAAACAGCGUUUCAUCUCAUUUCUACCGAUGGUCGGUUUGAAUCAGACGCGCGUGUCCCGUUUUCAACGGACACCUGAGGUGAACGCUAGCGGUGUUAGCCGUUAGCCGCUGUGGAACCGGUGCGGCUUAUCUCACCGGCUUUCGGGACUCCACAUAAACCGAUACUUAUCUGGCGAGCGGGAAAAAAGUUGUGAGAAAAAGGAAAAAAUCGUAAUUCGAGCGACUGUUUUCCUGCUAAGUUCGGCUACGUGUGGCUACGACGUCGUUUAUCUCCCGUAGGCUGUAAAGUGCACGUUAAAACGUAGCCUGGGCUAAUUAAGAGCUCGACCUGAGCUCAGCAUCUCUGUGUCCUGCACACCGAGCAGUGGGUUUAACAGGCUGCUGUAUAGCCUAGCACGAAUAACUCGAGAAAACUCGUCGACACAGCCACGCCAGUAAGGAGUCGUCAGGACUUUAGCAACUUCAGCUUAAUUUUAAUACCUUUGACCUGUUUUUUUAUGUCAGGUAACAGCAAGUGGACUUGACCAGCACCCAAGACUUACGAUCCUUUGCAGUCGAUGAUUGCCUGAAGUCUGCGUCUCACAGCUAUCACUCAACGCAGGGUGUCUUCCCUGACGAUGCUCUACCAGGAAUAUAAUACAGCCAUUUUCCGCUCCUGCUUUUUGCCUUCACUUAUCCUCAUUAAGUGAAAUGUAAGGGUUGAUUGACUUCGCCAGUCAAGAACAUUCCACUUGUUCCAGUUAUUGUUCUGAUGCAAGUGUAUUUGACAUUCAUCUACGUGAUACGCCUACAAGGUGGGGGAGACCAUGUGAUUGGCAUGAAGACGCAACAAGGAGAGUUGGGAUUCUCUGAUGAGACAGCACAGGUCAGAUGGUGACCAUGUACAACAGAGGGAGGUUUCUGUGAAGCUUGUAUUAAAAGUGAGAUCAUAAAUCAGCAGCACAGUAGAUUAGAGCAGAGCACUGUCAGCCACGCUGAAGGCUUUCCAUAGUUUUUCCAAUGGAGGGCAGAAGAGGAAAAGGAAGGAGUCUGAAUCCUGAUGACAGCGAAGAAGGCAAGUUCUGAGUGUGUCUGUUGAUAGCAGAAGGAAAGAGGCUGCUCUCUCUCUCUCUCUCUCUCCCUCUCUCUCUCUCUCUAUCUCUCUCCCUUUCUCAGUGCACACUGCCUUCUUUAAUCAUACAUUUACACGAGAGCCACAGUUCGCAAAGCCAUGUAGUCCACUUUUUAUUACCAGGCAGGUCACUGAGUGCUGUUGCUCCCACAGGGCACCUUAAAUUAAGUCUCUGAGAUGCGUUCACAUCAAAUGGUUCAUCUGGAAAGGAACAAAAUGGGGGGAAAAGGAAUAAAUUAAUAAUGAGCCACUUUUAUACCGGAUCCAGCGAUUAUACAAAUGGUGGAAACAGCCAAAAAUAUUCUGUUAUGGCAUAUGGCACUUCAGCUGCCAUAUGUGCCAGUUUUCACAAAAAUUGGCACUGCGGCACACGAUGGUCAGUUGUAACUGCCAAAAACACAGCGAGGGCUGUGCAGAGAGAGAGAGAAAAAAACGCUUCAGUGCCUCAGACGAGUGCACUGAUGUCCUUAUGCAGUUCCCACUGCAUAAUCAAGAGCGAGUUAUCAAAUGCUGGAGUGAAGAUUUCGGCGAGAUGAAAAGGCUUUUUUUUUCUUCCUUUUUUUGGGAGCUCAUGCUUCGCUCAUCCCCCUUUUCUCUUGCCUAGUUGCCAUUGCAUCCACCUGGGGCCAGGCGACAGGCCUCGCUUUCAUUCCACCUCUCUGUGAAGUGGAGGAGAAACUUGAUGCAGACUUACAGAGGCAAAAAUUGGUUUGGCAUCCCAAGUAUCAAUAUUAUCAUCAUAAUUUCAAUCAAGUCAUCUUGCUACUCUUUGCUCUUGGGCUCUUUUGUGUCUAGUGAAGAUGAUGCCUUCAUAUGCUUUUGACUUUGCACGUUGUAAUUACGUUUUAGUUGUUGCAAUCAAGGUUUUUAUUCCAGGAAAGAACCUAUGGUCAGAGUCCAGAUGCCCUGUGUUAGUUUUCCUGUAAAAUGAGGUCAUCUUUGGUAUAGUGCUUUUUUAGCCCUCACAUCUUACCUAGGCUUUGGAGACUGCUUCUUGUCUACUGAUUUUCCCAACAAAAAUCAGCUCAUGGACUCCCUCUCCACUCAAAACUAUGGGCUCAGUGGUCCAGGCUUUAGAUCCUCACUCCCAGCCAAGCUGCCAGACUAGCUCAGGGUUCACAGCUGAGCUGAGCCACCAUGGCAAGACUUAAUGUUCCAGGUUUCGGGCAGCCCCAGGGCAUAUGUUCGCCCCCCAUCACUUAGAGGAGAGCUCACGUCUGGCACUGGUGAGUCAGGCCAGGCCCCAGCGGCCCAUCCGAGUCCCAGUGAAGCAGGCCCCUCUACACACCACUCCACCCAGCAACAGGGUCAGUCAGUGAGUGACAGGUUGCAGGCAAUUUAUUGGGGAUUAUGGGACCACAAGAUCUGCCACCUUUGUUAUGCUUUGUCAGUGUGUGGCUUUAUGUUGCUGCCGGUGCUGUUCUGUAGCAACAUAACCCUUAGACGCCACAGUUACCGCUGGCAGUAACAAAAGCAUGGUGUUAUUUUUUAUUCAUUAUUUCUCGCUGUAACUCAGUGAAACAAGCAGUGGAAAGUGCUGAAUUUUCAGUGAAUAGCCUAUUUUGUUUUGUAAGUAGAGGAUAAAAUAUUUGAUUAUGAUUUCAUAAAAAGUUGCUUUAUGUUUUAGAGAAAGAGAAAACAUCCUUUAAGUUUCAGCCAUGUAUUUACAGUUUGUAAAGCAAAAAUGAAUUGAAUUUGUUAUGUAAUUAACAAUGUAGUGUAUGGCAAAAUGAUAAUAAUAACUGGACUUGGGAGAAAGACACUUAUUGCUGUCUAUGCAGUGUUUAUAAACUGAUAUAAUGUUGAUUGUUAAAUGAUUUGCAUUUUUAGGCUUGUUAAACAUAUUGUAUUUUGUAGGUAAUGUAUUUUAGCAUCAACUUUUGAUAUUAGAAAUUCCACAUGCUAGGAGCUACAAAACAUAAUCUCAUUAAAAAAAUAAAAAUUC
Long non-coding RNA from Pygocentrus nattereri (red-bellied piranha), 3324 nucleotides. RefSeq lists it as uncharacterized. The transcript is spliced from 3 exons. Lineage: Eukaryota; Metazoa; Chordata; Actinopteri; Characiformes; Serrasalmidae. The record is from RefSeq and is a predicted model, not a curated record.